GGAUGAACCAAACGCAGAGUUAAGGCGCCUGAUUCGACGCUCAUCUGAAACCAUGAAAGGCGUUGGUUGCUUAAGACAGCAGGACGGUGGCCAUGGAAGUCGGAAUCCGCUAAGGAGUGUGUAACAACUCACCUGCCGAAGCAACUAGCCCUGAAAAUGGAUGGCGCUGUAGCGUCGUGCCUAUACUCUGCCGUCAACGGCAAAGCGGGCGGCCCUUUACGGGGCGUCGCCGUUAAGCCUUGACGAGUAGGAGGGUCGCGGCGGUGUGCGCGGAAGGGUCUGGGCGUGAGCCCGCCUGGAGCCGCCGCCGGUGCAGAUCUUGGUGGUAGUAGCAAAUACUCCAGCGAGGCCCUGGAGGACUGAUGUGGAGAAGGGUUUCUUGUGAACAGCUGUUGCACAAGAGUCAGUCGAUCCUAAGCCCUAGGAGAAAUCCGAAGCGAUGGUCUGCCGUUAAGUUCUCUAUGAAAAUAGGGAGAGGAGGGAGUAGCGAGCGCCCCUUAAAAACGGGCGUUCGUCUCCCUCUUUUCUCCUUUUUUUUUCAAUCAUGAGCUGGCACCGUCUGGGCGAAAGGGAAUCCGGUUCCUAUUCCGGAACCCGGCCGCGGAACCGCUCCAAUUCGGGCCCUCAUCCGAGGACUCGUCGGGGUGACCCGAAAUGACCCGGAGAAGCCGUAGGGAGGUCCGGGGAGAGUUGUCUCUUCUCUAUAAGCGUUCGAGUUCCCUGGAAGCCUCUAGGAGGGAGAUAGGGUUUGGAACGCGAAGAGCACCGCACUUACGGCGGUGUCCGGAUCUUCCCCUCGGACCUUGAAAAUCCGGGCGAGGGCCACGAGGAACACCGCGCCGGCUCGUACCCAUAUCCGCAGCAGGUCUCCAAGGUGAAUAGCCUCUAGUCGAUAGAAUAAUGUAGGUAAGGGAAGUCGGCAAACCCGAUCUGUAACUUCGGGAUAAGGAUUGGCUCUGAGGAUCGUGGCGCGCCGGGCUUGGUCGGGAAGUGGAGCGGUGCCAACGUGCCGGGCCUGGGCGAGGUGAAGGGCGCUCGUCGCCUGGACCCUAGCUCGGUCCCGUGCCUUGGCCACCCACGGACCUUCCUUGCUGCGAGCCUCCCGGCUGUCUAGUUUUCGGCUUCGCCGGAGGACGGGCCGGAAGGCUCUUCGGCCGCCAUAGAACGAUCAACUUAGAACUGGCACGGACUAGGGGAAUCCGACUGUCUAAUUAAAACAAAGCAUUGCGAUGGCCCCAAGGGGUGAUGACGCAAUGUGAUUUCUGCCCAGUGCUCUGAAUGUCAACGUGAAGAAAUUCAAGCAAGCGCGGGUAAACGGCGGGAGUAACUAUGACUCUCUUAAGGUAGCCAAAUGCCUCGUCAUCUAAUUAGUGACGCGCAUGAAUGGAUUAACGAGAUUCCCUCUGUCCCUACCUACUAUCUAGCGAAACCACGGCCAAGGGAACGGGCUUGGAAGAAUCAGCGGGGAAAGAAGACCCUGUUGAGCUUGACUCUAUGUGUUGUACU
Molecule: ribosomal RNA, 1506 nt
Filed under: Nemocoris falleni
Lineage: Eukaryota; Metazoa; Arthropoda; Insecta; Hemiptera; Coreidae
Description: partial large subunit ribosomal RNA
Rfam family: Eukaryotic large subunit ribosomal RNA
Source: RNAcentral